Molecule: ribosomal RNA, 1533 nt
Filed under: Triticum aestivum (bread wheat)
Lineage: Eukaryota; Viridiplantae; Streptophyta; Magnoliopsida; Poales; Poaceae
Description: partial small subunit ribosomal RNA
Source: RNAcentral
AUGACAAAAUUUGAGAGAGAGGAGAUGCUAAUGCUCCUGAUUGUUGCCGAUGAUGUCUACGAGGAGGUGAGAAACAGAGUAGAGAGUACUGCACCUACAACAGAGUACGGGAGGAUUGGGAACAGGGUAGAGAACGACGGGGAGGGGGCAAGAAAUAGAGUAGAGAGUACUACACCUACAAUAGAGUGUAAGAGGAUUGGGAGAAGGAAACGAGGAGGAAGAGGCAACGAGAAGAAGAGAGGGGGCAGGAAGAGUGGUGAGGGAUCGCUAGAGUGUGACCAUGGCCUCGCCCUCUCGGAUUGGGAAUUUCAGCCUACUUUGGCAUGCUCACACCUGCGUACUAGAGCUCGCGCUGGAGUAGAAGUAAGGCCGAUAUUGUGGACGCAGAUGGACUGCGGUGCCUCCCCCCUCAGCAGCUCUAAGGUUACACAUUCUCUGCACACACCGCCUGGCAGAGUGCACAUAUCAAUGGAGGCCCAUGCCGAUCUUUUGGUCCUUGAGUCCAUGUCGUUGGACGUCGUCGGGCUGGCGGAGAGCAUGUCCAUGGUUGAUCUGGAGGUCGUGUUCGGCUCCAUCGGCCGCGUCACCGGCUCCGAGUUCGUGUGCACUAGCGGCCACAGCUUCGUCUACAUUGCCACUGCCCCUCCCACAAGUCUCAGUUUCUUGGAAUGGCGGUUCAAGAAGGGACAUCAUCGUGUGGCUUGCGUGACCAUAGGGCUCUUGACCAAGCCGAGCGAAUUAAUUUUCACAGCUCACCGUGAAAAGGUCUGUACACAAGUGAGUUGGGCGUGUGUGUCCUGUGGAGGCGCUGUGCACCUUCAGGGUCAUGAUGGCCAUCUGCUGUCGAGCUUCACCGCCUCACGCAGCAGGACUGACUCUGAUGACCUGUUUAGAGCAGAGUUUUUAGUAGAUGACGACAUAAAUUGUGGCAUUGGUCGCAAUCUAGAAGUUUUUCAGAUCCAAAUCCUACUUCAGAAAGUGUAUAUGAGCAAAGGUCUGCACCUAAACGUUAUCAGAAGUGAGGUCUUAGACAAGAAAAUGUUGUCCACGAAACAUGGCCUGAAGACGAAGGGCAUAACCGAUGGCACCAGCGGGAGGUAUUUUUGGAUCAGUGCCGGCGGCCCAGUACUGACGGAUACAAGUGUGUGGCUGCUCCAGUGCCGCCGCAUACUCCAGUACAGCCCAAACGUGGAUGCAGGUGGAUGUGGGCACCGUGGCCGCCACCAAGGAUGUGGGGGUCGCGCCACAACCGGCAUGGACGCGGUGGGAACGCCGAAACUGUCAAGGACACGGGAGCCACACUUCAGCCUUAGUGUUUUCCCUAAUUUCUUUAGGUUAUCUGGAAUGAUGGACAGUGAAUGGGCCGGCCCAGGUGAGCCGGCUCCUGUGCGAAUCGCCAUCAGUUUGCCGCAGCAAGCGGCAUAUAGGAGGCCCCAAGGAGCGAGCGCGCUAGCUGGGCCGGGCGCUAUCCCCGCGCGGGGAAUUGGAUCCCUGGGCUGGCCUACCGUUAGAUUGUUCGGGGCUUUCGACUAG